This is a small nucleolar RNA of Carassius auratus (goldfish), 82 nucleotides long. Ensembl annotates it as small nucleolar RNA SNORD53/SNORD92. The record is from Ensembl. Lineage: Eukaryota; Metazoa; Chordata; Actinopteri; Cypriniformes; Cyprinidae.
CAGAAAUGAUGAUACCAGAGAAUGGUUUUGCAUACAUGACUGAUCUCAUGUGAUGUCACACGUCUCUUGGCUGUCUGAUUUA